UACGUAGGGUGCGAGCGUUAAUCGGAAUUACUGGGCGUAAAGCGUGCGCAGGCGGUUUUGUAAGCCAGAUGUGAAAGCCCCGGGCUUAACCUGGGAAUGGCAUUUGGGACUGCAAGGCUGGAGUGUGGCAGAGGAGACUGGAAUUCCUGGUGUAGCAGUGAAAUGCGCAGAUAUCAGGAGGAACACCGGUGGCGAAGGCGGGACUCUGGGCCGAUACUGACGCUGAGGAGCGAAAGCGUGGGGAGCGAACAGG
This 253-nucleotide ribosomal RNA is filed under the name uncultured bacterium. RNAcentral's name for it is "partial 16S ribosomal RNA". It matches the Rfam family "Bacterial small subunit ribosomal RNA", at positions 524 to 776 of the family's 1533-position model. The record is from RNAcentral.